Molecule: long non-coding RNA, 2860 nt
Filed under: Zea mays
Lineage: Eukaryota; Viridiplantae; Streptophyta; Magnoliopsida; Poales; Poaceae
Description: long non-coding RNA (ZMAY_LNC001295)
Source: RNAcentral
AUCUAUUAUGUAUUGUAUCAUAGUGAUGUGAAAUGAAAUCUUUUCAAAUACAACUUGUUUAUUACAGUUGAUAUAAGCAUAGGGAAUGGAGACGACAAAACAUGUACACCUUUAUCAUAUUGUCACAACAAACAUGUAUUGGUGUGUAUCCAUAUAUGAACCAUGAAAUCAAAACUAUGAACUGAACAAGCUGAGAAUUUCAACAAAUGAAAGAAUUGUUGUCAUUCAUCAAGUAGAGUUGACAGACCAACUAACCAUAUCCUUUCUCACCGUGUGCAUUGCAAAUGCCACAUCGUCACGUAUCUUGUACCAUAGAGAGAGAAAUUUGCAUGAAAUCGUGUUUUUAUAUAUAGAAAAAUGAAAUUUUAAUUCCUACAAACUACAAUAGAACUCUUUACUGCAAAAAGUUGUGCAUACACGAUCUAUUUCCCUACCAUUAAGGGCACACAAUAAAUUAAAUGUGGUUUUCAAUAACCCAACGAGAAAUGCACAUCAAUGUUAAUCAAUCUAAUACUAAACAUCAAGCAAAAAGUGAUGUUUAGCCAUUUUUAGGCGCAAGCAAAUAAAAAGUACCUGAAGGAAUAUAUCUAGUAUGAAAUUGACCCUAAGAUGUGCAAGUAUAAGGAAAUGGCUACUACUUUUAGCUUUAUCCAAUAGACUAUCUUUGAAGGAGUGAAAUACGCAAACAGUAAGAAUUUAUCUAGUGGAGGUGCACAUAGUUGAUCACCAUUUUAGUGAAUCUAACAAAACAUUCAAUUACCAAAAAAAGAGUAAGAAUUGACUUGACAAAAACAUGCCAAUUCACUUUUUCACCCAUAAUUCUCCUUUGCCAAAAGCAGCGCUUGUGCACCAUUGGACGAUUGAGUGGCCAACAAACAUUUAAGUAUAAAAGAGUUCUAUUUCAAUAACCAAGUCAGUUUGUUGCUUUUGCAAAUCUAUUUCCACGACAAGCCAAAUGUUAAUAUGAAGAAAAAAAAUGGGAUGUUCAACACUCCAACUUAGGCAUUUGGAUAUGGAGUGCAUGGUGGCCAGAACAUUUGAGCAAAUUUUUUACAUAGUGGACAUUUUUACCACUAUCUUGUCAGAGUAUUGUCAAAAAACAACACUAAGUUGCAGAUUAAUUUCUAUAGCAGUCAUCAGGUUAUUUGAUUUGAAAUGCACCAUAGAGGAUGGAAGGAUCAAGGAAAGGCUAUCUGAUUUUUAUGGCUUGAAUGUUUCAUCUUAUAACCAUUUAUUGAGACUGUCUACAACCGUUCACCCUAAUUUUGGCCCCAAAUAUCCCACUAUCUCGCCACGUCAAAGUCAGUGUAUGAAGAAAGAGUAUAUCGCUGCGACUGUUUAGAGCCUAAAUGGCCUUUCUCGACACCAUUGCUUAAUUUUAAUGAAACUUAUCUCACGUUGAUGGAAUAUGAAGGGCAUAAUGGUGGAAAAUGCACCAUCAGUAACAACUGUCCUAAUGAAAGUAAAGAAAUUGACGAGUCGAAACUGAAAGAUUGAAGUAUUAAAAAAUUGUUAGGUAUAAAUAUAUGUAUCAUGUGUAAUGUAGUUCUUUUUUUAAAAUGGCAAUAGCUUCGAAUUUAUUUUCAUGUCUGGUUCACACACACACAAAGACAUCAACCCUGCCACCAUAAUUUUUACUAUUUAAUGUAAAAAGAAAUGAAAGAGCAUAUGCAUCUCAAAUUUAUAUUGAACAGAUGCAGAAAUAAAUCAAAAACAUAAGAUGAUGAGAAAGCAAAGUAGCAAAUGUCUAGUCUAUAUAAUAUGCUUAAAUAAUAUAACAAGUAAAAGUUACCAGCAAUAGCCUUUGUUUGUGCAGCAACAACGACCACUGUUGUUCCUACCUCUCUCUGAAAACAAUCUCACAGAGAAUGAAAACAUCACGUCUGCUAGUGCAAUUGCUGUUUGCAAGCACCACAAACUAAAGUGCUUGAGAUUCAGGAAAAAAUAAGAGAGGCACACCUUAAGAUUUGUGCAGUUGUUUGGAACUGCAUAGAGGGAUUCAUCUGUGAUGAAUGUUCCACCAAUGUUACCAUAUAUCAGAAAAUCCAUCAACUCUAUAAACCAAAUACUCACCAGUACUAAAUCUGUAGCACACGAAAUUUCUUAUGGUUGCAGAGGGGGAUUGCAAGGCCGCUGACUCCCUAAAAGAUCUGCACACCGAUUUUCAGGCAGUCAGUAGGCAUCUCUUAACUGAAGGUCAAUGUUCUGAAGUUCAUUUGAUUCACCAUCAUAUAGCUCACCACCCCAAUCUAAUGACGUCCAUGCCUGUAUUGCUCCUAAACCAAGCAUAGAAUGGAAACCUUUAACCAAGUAGGACAUAUGACAGACCUAUUAACAGGGUAUUGGAGAAAAAUAUUAUUGGAGUUGACAUCAGACUAACUUACCAAGCAAGAAACUACCUUAUCAAACUAUGAGAUCUGAAUUUUAAAUAACUGAAUCAACAUUCAUUGUGCCAAUACAACGUGUGUUGCCCAUUGCAGGCCUCUCUGCUCCAGCCAUAUCCACCCUUCAUGCAGACACAGAAUCGUCCCACUACAAGCGAAGCACGAGCGGAACCACCUGAAUCAGACACCUUCAGAAGGCAGCCUUCAGUGCAAUCAACAGUUGAGACGCGACAGAUCGAGACGAAAAAAUGUGGACCUCUAUAUGAGGUUGGGGAUUGAGUCGGCGAGGUGCUCGUAGUCGGUGAUGACCUACCACAGCGUGUCAACAUCGGCGGCCACUGACACGUACGCGAGCACCCACCACGACCACGUCGCACUGACGCCGCACGCCAAGACAGUGGGUCCGGCCUCCGGCACGCCCGCGCGCCCUCUGUGGUAGUGCUGGUGGUCAGCGCCUCAGUGGUCCCCUGUGGCGG